This 1592-nucleotide small RNA is filed under the name Pan troglodytes (chimpanzee). RNAcentral's name for it is "processed transcript". The record is from RNAcentral. Lineage: Eukaryota; Metazoa; Chordata; Mammalia; Primates; Hominidae.
UUAAGUUUUUGUUGUAGCUUGGGAUAAUUAAAAAUACUCAUUAAAUUGUACUGUUUUCAUAAAAAUUUGUAAUGCUUUUUUAUAUUCCCACUAAUUAAGUAAAAUUGGAGGCUUUUUUUGAUUUUAAAAAUUCUUAAGGUUUAAAUUCUAGAAAUUGCUCUUUUAAGUGUUUUGCUAAGAGUAUUAGUAGGAAUUUGAUUUUAGAUAUCUUGUGGAGACCUUUCCAGAAAAAGAGGGUUGCCUUUUAGUUCCUGGACCUUAUUUUAAGUAAGCUUUUUGGUCAAACCUAUUAUUCUACUCGGCUCAAAAAGUUGAAACUAUUGAAUUUAUUGUGUCAUCGUUCUUAGGAUCCAUCAAUUAAGGGAACCUUUCACUGGUCUGGCAAUGAACAGAUGACUAAGUAUGAAAUGGCAUGUGCAAUUGCAGAUGCCUUCAACCUCCCCAGCAGUCACUUAAGACCUAUUACUGACAGCCCUGUCCUAGGAGCACAACGUCCAAGAAAUGCUCAGCUUGACUGCUCCAAAUUGGAGACCUUGGGCAUUGGCCAACGAACACCAUUUCGAAUUGGAAUCAAAGAAUCACUUUGGCCUUUCCUCAUUGACAAGAGAUGGAGACAAACGGUCUUUCAUUAGUUUAUUUGUGUUGGGUUCUUUUUUUUUUUUUAAAUGAAAAGUAUAGUAUGUGGCACUUUUUAAAGAACAAAGGAAAUAGUUUUGUAUGAGUACUUUAAUUGUGACUCUUAGGAUCUUUCAGGUAAAUGAUGCUCUUGCACUAGUGAAAUUGUCUAAAGAAACUAAAGGGCAGUCAUGCCCUGUUUGCAGUAAUUUUUCUUUUUAUCAUUUUGUUUGUCCUGGCUAAACUUGGAGUUUGAGUAUAGUAAAUUAUGAUCCUUAAAUAUUUGAGAGUCAGGAUGAAGCAGAUCUGCUGUAGACUUUUCAGAUGAAAUUGUUCUUUCUCGUAACCUCCAUAUUUUCAGGAUUUUUGAAGCUGUUGACCUUUUCAUGUUGAUUAUUUUAAAUUGUGUGAAAUAGUAUAAAAAUCAUUGGUGUUCAUUAUUUGCUUUGCCUGAGCUCAGAUCAAAAUGUUUGAAGAAAGGAACUUUAUUUUUGCAAGUUACGUACAGUUUUUAUGCUUGAGAUAUUUCAACAUGUUAUGUAUAUUGGAACUUCUACAGCUUGAUGCCUCCUGCUUUUAUAGCGGUUUAUGGGGAGCACUUGAAAGAGCGUGUGUACAUGUAUUUUUUUUCUAGGCAAACAUUGAAUGCAAACGUGUAUUUUUUUAAUAUAAAUAUAUAACUGUCCUUUUCAUCCCAUGUUGCCGCUAAGUGAUAUUUCAUAUGUGUGGUUAUACUCAUAAUAAUGGGCCUUGUAAGUCUUUUCACCAUUCAUGAAUAAUAAUAAAUAUGUACUGCUGGCAUGUAAUGCUUAGUUUUCUUGUAUUUACUUCUUUUUUUAAAUGUAAGGACCAAACUUCUAAACUAAUUGUUCUUUUGUUGCUUUAAUUUUUAAAAAUUACAUUCUUCUGAUGUAACAUCUGAUACAUACAAAAGAAUAUAGUUUAAUAUGUAUUGAAAUAAAACACAAUAAAAUUAA